ACUGUUUUGGCAGAUAAGUGCAGUGGAUUUAGAAUCUAUAAAUGUAAUUUAAAUUACAAAUAGUA
Molecule: transfer RNA, 65 nt
Filed under: Macropanesthia kraussiana
Lineage: Eukaryota; Metazoa; Arthropoda; Insecta; Blattodea; Blaberidae
Description: tRNA-Leu
Rfam family: tRNA
About the family: Transfer RNA (tRNA) molecules are approximately 80 nucleotides in length. Their secondary structure includes four short double-helical elements and three loops (D, anti-codon, and T loops).
Source: RNAcentral